UUUCCGUAGGUGAACCUGCGGAAGGAUCAUUAAAAAAUAUCACAUUUUGUAUGUGAUUUAAUAAUCAUCCUAUCCUUUGUGAAUUUGUUUUGUUUUGAAAUUUAUGUUGUCUAUCCCUGGAUAUGAAAGAAAAGUCGUAAGAUUUUUUUUUCAUUCUAGGGAAUAGGCUUUCAUAGACAUUUUUUAAAUUAAACUUUUUGUAUUCAUUUGUCUAAAAUUUAUUUUUAAAUAAUUUAAAAACAACUUUUGACAAUGGAUCUCUUGGUUCUCGCAACGAUGAAGAACGCAGCAAAAUGCGAUAAGUAAUGUGAAUUGCAGAAUACGUGAAUCAUCAAAUUUUCGAACGCAUAUUGCACUUUUUUAGUUUACUAAAAAAGUAUGUCUGUUUGAGUAUCAGUAAAAUAUUCUCAUAAAAACUAUUGUUUUUAUGGUUAUGAGUGUUUUACAACGAUAACAAGUUGUUUCACUUUAAAUUGAUUUUUUAAUAAGCCAAUUUGGUUUUAUUUUUAAAAUUGGAUAAAAUUUUCCCGUAAAAAGAAUAAACUUUUCAGUUUUAAAAUUAAAUCUAAAUUGACCUACAAAAAAGGAAAUUUAAUUUAUAAACUAACUUGAUCUCAAAUCAGAUAAGAGUACCCGCUGAACUUAAGCAUAUCAAUAAGCGGAGGAAAAGAAACUAACAAGGAUUCCCUUAGUAACGGCGAGUGAAGCGGGAAGAGCUCAAAUUUGAAAUCUUCAAGGUUCUACCUUGACGAAUUGUAGUUUAUAGAAGUGUUUUCUGUUAAUGGAGUGGCAAAAGUUCUUUGGAAUAGGACAUCAUAGAGGGUGAGAAUCCCGUAUUGGUCAUUCCUUCUAGUUUUGUGAUACACUUUCAAAGAGUCGGAUUGUUUGGGAAUGCAGUCCAAAAUGGGUGGUAAUUCAUCUAAAGCUAAAUAUUGGCGAGAGACCGAUAGCGAACAAGUACCGUGAGGGAAAGAUGAAAAGAACUUUGAAAAAGAGAGUUAAACAGUACGUGAAAUUGUCAAAAGGGAGCGUUUGACACCUGUGUUGUUUUUCCGAAAAUCAAUUAUAAAUGUUUUGUUUCUGAGGAGUGAUGACUUCAUCGGCUUCCUUCUCUCUUCACGAAACUUUUGUAAUGCACUUUUCGGUUAACAAGUCAACAUCAAUUUCUUUGUUGUAAAAGAGUAUUCGGAAGGUGGCUUUCUUUUCGGAGAAAGUGUUUAUAGCCCUAUACUUCUACAAUCGGAGAGAUUGAGGUCUGCAGCGUAGAUCCUUCGGGGUUAGAUACACUUGUGCUAAGUUUAUAGCUUUUCAUAGACAACUUGUUGACUAUGUUUAGUCUUGUAGCUUACUCGCUUGUGCUAUUUUACCUACGCUUAG
Molecule: unclassified non-coding RNA, 1377 nt
Filed under: uncultured Neocallimastigales
Lineage: Eukaryota; Fungi; Neocallimastigomycota; Neocallimastigomycetes; Neocallimastigales
Description: partial contains small subunit ribosomal RNA, internal transcribed spacer 1, 5.8S ribosomal RNA, internal transcribed spacer 2, and large subunit ribosomal RNA
Rfam family: Eukaryotic large subunit ribosomal RNA (bases 610-1377)
Source: RNAcentral